UACGAAGGGGGCUAGCGUUGCUCGGAAUCACUGGGCGUAAAGCGCACGUAGGCGGAUCUUUAAGUCAGGGGUGAAAUCCUGGAGCUCAACUCCAGAACUGCCUUUGAUACUGAGGAUCUUGAGUCCGGGAGAGGUGAGUGGAACUCCGAGUGUAGAGGUGAAAUUCGUAGAUAUUCGCAAGAACACCAGUGGCGAAGGCGGCUCACUGGCCCGAUACUGACGCUGAGGCACGAAAGCGUGGGGAGCAAACAGG
Molecule: ribosomal RNA, 253 nt
Filed under: uncultured bacterium
Lineage: Bacteria
Description: partial 16S ribosomal RNA
Rfam family: Bacterial small subunit ribosomal RNA
Source: RNAcentral